Molecule: long non-coding RNA, 745 nt
Organism: Haplochromis burtoni (Burton's mouthbrooder)
Lineage: Eukaryota; Metazoa; Chordata; Actinopteri; Cichliformes; Cichlidae
Exons: 2
Source: RefSeq, a predicted model, not a curated record
CAGAGGACAGUCUGUCCUCUGCUGAACCUACCAAUGUUGAAUCGCCGACUGAGUCCAGUAUGUCCUCUGCUGCUGAUCUACCAUCUAACUCUGACACCUCCAGCUCUGAACUAGAACCUCUGAGAACAUCAACUCGGACCAGGAAACCUCCAGACCGGUUACAAUACUCUACGCUUGGUCAGCCCAUCUUGAAGAGUAUUCAGGCACUAGUCCAUGGCUUAACCACUGCCUUUACUCAUGCACUGGAGGAUGAAGAGGACCAUCUGCUUACUGCCACUGAACAACCUGUCAUCCGGACCCAACCACCAUGUACAGGGACGUACAUGAGAUCGAGGGGGGAACCUGUAACCCAUAUCAACUACUCCCUGUCACAUGACCCACGUCAGCUGAUUUGAGGUCCCUCUUCUGAUUGGCUCCUUUCACGUCGCGGCAACUCUGAAAACCGGCUGUGGAGGGAUACUUCCGGGUUCGACUCCUGCUGUGGCUGUGAGCUUAUGGCAUUUAGAGCGGUAUUGGAAAACAAAGCGUUUUCUCUCCUCAAUUCAUCUUUAAACUUUAAACUCAGCGGUCAGGUUUUUUUUCCCCUUUGAAUUGAUCUUCUUCAUAUUGAAGUGGCGAGCCGGUAGGACCAUUCUUUGUUUUCCCCUCUUUUCCCCCACUUAGCCGUCUUUGGAUUACGGACAUAUUUCCCCCUUGUAUGAAGCUGGACCCUAAGGAGGAAUACCUUAAAAGUGAACUUUAAAAA